CUGCAGCUCAAGUGGUGAUCAUUAUUAUUGGGCCUAAAACGUCCGUAGCCUGUUUAGUAAAUGCCUGGGUAAAUCGUGUAGCUUAACUAUACGAAUUCCGGGUAGACUGCUAAACUUGAGACCGGGAGAGGCUAGAGGUACUCCUGGGGUAGAGGUGAAAUUCUGUAAUCCUAGGGGGACCACCAGUGGCGAAGGCGUCUAGCUAGAACGGGUCUGACGGUGAGGGACGAAGCCCUGGGGCACAAACCGGAUUAGAUACCCGAGUAGUCC
RNAcentral lists this ribosomal RNA (270 nucleotides) under uncultured archaeon. RNAcentral describes it as "partial 16S ribosomal RNA". It matches the Rfam family "Archaeal small subunit ribosomal RNA", at positions 477 to 747 of the family's 1478-position model. The record is from RNAcentral.